GUCGCUUUGGCCGAGUGGUUAAGGCGAUUGACUAGAAAUCAAUUCCCUCCGGGGGCAUAGGUUCGAGUCCUAUAGGCGACG
This 81-nucleotide transfer RNA is filed under the name Drechslerella stenobrocha 248. Its description in RNAcentral is "tRNA-Ser (AGA) (tRNA-Ser-AGA-1-1)". It matches the Rfam family "tRNA". From Rfam's summary of the family: Transfer RNA (tRNA) molecules are approximately 80 nucleotides in length. Their secondary structure includes four short double-helical elements and three loops (D, anti-codon, and T loops). Lineage: Eukaryota; Fungi; Ascomycota; Orbiliomycetes; Orbiliales; Orbiliaceae. The record is from RNAcentral.